AAGUUAGAUACGUGUAAUGGAUAUAAAGGUCACAUUAUUUUCAUUGAUGCAUUCUUUUAUAAUAUAUUCAGGAAAGUCAGAAAUCCAGUUCAGAUGUAGAGCAGAUGGAGGAAGCAGCAGCUGGACCGUCAGGGCUUCAGUUCAUUAAGGUGAGAUUAAUUUCUCUCUCUGAUGAGGUUAGAGGGGACAGCUGGGUGCGACGGCCCAGUGAUUUCCCCUUUUUGUGUAUUUCAGCUGGAUCUCCAACCUCUCUUUUGGUAAGUAGUUUUCAGUCUUUGAUAUCUAAAUUAAAUUUGGUUUAUCACUCAAGAAUCACUGAUACUGACACAAUUUUAUUUUUUCCAGCCUCACCAACGUCAUGCUGCACAGCGGCCUACAUCUUAACUUCAUCUGAUAGUCUGCACAGUAACAAACAAAUUAACACGGAAGCUACUGUGUUUGAUCAGAUCCACUUCAAAACCGAUGGAGUUCAUCCUGACACUAUGUUGGCAUCCCAGAAGUCCAAUUUUAAUAUAAAGUGUCAGAGCUUUGAUGUGCAGGUGAGUUUAAUAGAUGUAUGCUGCUAUUAAAUACACUUUUAUUUGACUCGAGACUUAAACUGUACUUUAAUUAACACAUCGAUGUACAACAACGGUGAGAUAAGAGCAAAGAACAUUCCUUAUUCACAAAGAUAGAAUCCCAAAUAUCAUGCUGCAGUGGACCAGACAGCGUGACGUCACACAUCAUGAUUGUGUUACAAUGGCUCACAACUCACUUCUUCCUUUCACUCAUUACAGGUGACUGGUUGUACUACAUGAGGUACACUGGCACAACUCGCUCAAUGGGGGUGAAGGUCCUCCGUGGGGCAAAAGAGGUCUUUGAGGAGGCUCACUUCAGCAGUGGACACCGCAGCCAGAGAACCACCAGAGAGACAAUCUCUCAGGUUUUACUGGCCUGGAAUGUCAAAUGCCACCUUCACCUCCUCCUCUGGGCCAUCCACAGGCUGUUGGCACUCGCCUGCCUCGUUAAACACCACAGUGGACUCUCCGAUCAUCAAGAGUAUGUUUGAUAAUUUGUAAAAAGAAUUAUAAUAUUGAAACAUUUUGUACAGCACUGACAGUCUCAUUCACUGCAUGAAAAGUGGGAUUUUCGUCAGUAGGCGGCACUGUAGAUUGACGUGGAAUUUCAGGUUUGCGGCAGUUUGCAGGCAACACUGAAAACUGACGUAAAUUGUCGUGGGCCUUGCUUGGCAGU
Molecule: long non-coding RNA, 1233 nt
Filed under: Sparus aurata (gilthead seabream)
Lineage: Eukaryota; Metazoa; Chordata; Actinopteri; Spariformes; Sparidae
Description: lncRNA (ENSSAUG00010005201.1)
Source: RNAcentral